GCGACUGUGGCUCUAUGGUAGAGUAGUCGUCUUGCGAUCGGAAGGUUGUAGGUUCGAUUCCAGCCACAUGUC
Molecule: transfer RNA, 72 nt
Filed under: Xiphophorus maculatus (southern platyfish)
Lineage: Eukaryota; Metazoa; Chordata; Actinopteri; Cyprinodontiformes; Poeciliidae
Rfam family: tRNA
About the family: Transfer RNA (tRNA) molecules are approximately 80 nucleotides in length.
Source: Rfam by way of RNAcentral